CCCACUGAAUUAAAUUUAAAGGGCUGCAGUAUAUUGACUGUACAAAGGUAGCAUAAUCAAUAGUCUUUUAAUUGAAGACUGGUAUGAAUGAUUUGAUGAAAUAUAAACUGUCUCUUUUUUAAAAAUAGAAUUUAAUUUUUUAGUUAAAAAGCUAAAAUAUAUAUAAAAGACGAGAAGACCCUAUAGAGUUUAAUAAUUUUUUAUUUUUAAAUAAUUUAUAUAUUUUAUAAUUUAAAAAUAAAAAAAUUAUUUUGUUGGGGUGAUAGAAAAAUUAAAAUAACUUUUUUUAAAAAUUAACAUUAAUAUAUGAAUAUAUGAUCCAUAAUUUAUGAUUAAAAGAAUAAAUUACCUUAGGGAUAACAGCGUAAUUUUUUUUUUUAGUUCGUAUAAAAAAAAAAGUUUGCGACCUCGAUGUUGGAUUAAAAUAAAAUUUAAAUGCAAAAGUUUAAAAUUUUUGAUCUGUUCGAUCAUUAAAAUCUUACAUGAUCUGAUUCAAACCGGGGGG
RNAcentral lists this ribosomal RNA (505 nucleotides) under Gonepteryx rhamni (common brimstone butterfly). RNAcentral's name for it is "partial 16S ribosomal RNA". The stretch from base 356 to 505 matches the Rfam family "Bacterial large subunit ribosomal RNA", at positions 2473 to 2623 of the family's 2925-position model. The record is from RNAcentral. Lineage: Eukaryota; Metazoa; Arthropoda; Insecta; Lepidoptera; Pieridae.